AUUUCUUGACUUCCUCUUCUUUUUUUGGGAAACCCAAUUCCAAAGUCUUGAAACCUUUGUUAAAGUCGGGUGGGGAGAUCUCCCUUGUGCCGCAGUCUCAGGAACAAAGUGUUCCUGUUUUAGGCCCCCCCUGCUCCUGCAGUCAACCCCUUGCAAGAGCUGGAAUGUCCCCUGCAAUGGAUAUGGGAGUGCAGGGGGGUUCUGUGUACGGGAGGCCGCACGUGCCACCAUUACUCUCACACCCAGGAGUGCACCAUUUGGGGGUUCUCAUUGAGUUAUGCUUUGGGUUGGAAUGUGGAGCUGCGUCAUCCCUUCAGUUCUGGAGCACCUAUUCAUGUGUGUGAUUGAGUCUGAGCAAGAUCAUUGGCGAAUAGGUACAGGGCAAAUUUCCCAAAGAAUGUAUGACAACAUACAAUAUACAUUUAUUAUUUCUAGGCUUUGUAGAAAACAGAAUUGGUUACAGAAAACCUAGGGCACGGUUGAUAACGACUGCUUUUAGCCAUGAAUACAUGAGCUUAAAGUGCUGUUGGGACCACCAGUGCCUUUCCUUUGAACAUCCCCGAGGAGCUUUUUGGAGAAACAGAAGUCAAUGUCUGGGGUGAUGCCCCUCUUAUAAAUCAGCAAAGUAACAGAGUGGCUUGGGGAGAGAAACCCAGGAAUGUGCCAGUCGGGUAGUAAAAAGUACCUUUAUUGAAACCUGCUGAAAAGGGGAAUCUUUGUGUUGUGGUUCAGGGAGGAUCCAUCGUCUUUUCCUCAUUCGCUCUCAUUUCUCCCAUUCAGUCUGACUGACUGAAGCUUGUGUGUUUGUUUUUCAUUACUGAAAUUGAUGCCACUGAUGCUGUACAAAGACCAUUCAUAGAAAAGUUGCGUUUUCUGCUGUUUGUUUCGCACCAGAAUACCUCGACAGUGAGCAACAAUUCAGUGACACACCAGUCGUCUGAAACUCCCUCUCGGUGGGCACAGUAAGCAGUGGCAUGGUCGGGAAUGCAGUUUUCGUUGUUUUUUUUUUCUUUUUUUCGUCCGGUUAGCAGCAACAGACAGAUAGCUUCAUCCUAAGUCGCGGACUUUCAUCAAGUGCUCCUCGGGGGCCAGUGGUUGAGGCCCCUCUCCCACAGUUGAGUCAGAAUGCCACUCCCUUCAUACUCCCACUGGCUUGACCUCCACUGGCCUGGAGGCGGUUUAGGGAAUAGCGGAUAGCGGAAAAUGAGUCAGUGGGAGGUCACCGUCUCAGCGCAGAUGUAGAGAUGUAGCAAUGCUCGGAGAGCUAACCGACACAGGAACUGGAUGACUGCCCAAGGUCACAGGUUUACUACGGGGGCUGAAAGUAAGAUAAGUGAUGUUUGCUGGUAGCGGCAUAGUUACACCCUGCUGCUCAUGGAUUCCUGGAUUUUGUGUCCAUCUUAGGAGGAAAUGACUCUUGUCUUGGUUGACCCUUGAGGGAAGCCGCAUUAAUCUUUUUCUUAUGGGUGUUGUGCACUUGUCACAGAGGUGCAUUAUAGGAGUCCCUUUUGGUAUCAGUGUUGGGAAUGGGAAAGUAACUGUUGUUUUUGCCAGUAUCUAAGCUUUCUUCGUCAUUUUAUAAUUUCAGAACACGUAAAGCGCACCGACAUUACACCAUUACACAGGCUUAUUGGGAUUGUAAAAGUAGUGCAAAGCACGCCUCUUCGGCGAUUGCACAUGGGGCAAAUGACUGUUACAAAGAUGUAAACAGACAACGCUGUAAACAUGUGGCUAAAGGCAUUUACAGUGAGAGCAGCCCCGGGUUUUCUCUCCGAAGUGGAAAAGGGCAAUUGGGCCUGAGAGGAAGAGGAACAACUCAGGGGUUUUUCUUCAUUUCUCCUGUAGCAGAAAAAUAUACCGACCUCAUGAGAGAGACCAAACCGUUUCUGUUUUCUUUAAUAAGCACCCUAAUCGCUUUGACGAGCCGCCAGUCGUCAUAUUACAGAUGUUAGACUUAACAAUAAUGCGGACUUAUCACUAAGAAGCAUGUAACGGGGAGAACAAGAAGGGAGAGAUCGAGCCUCGUCAGGUCUUUCGUUACAUAACGGGCUGCGUGUGGCACUGGGAAUAUUUUUCUGCUCAGACUGGUUUGGACCGCCUUUCUCUGACCGAAUGAAAUCCACCUCAUGGAGACAAAAAUCAAGCGCAUAUGUUAGACCUGCGUCUUGUUUUCAGAGGCGAGUCAACGCGGAGUUAAGAAAACAGCUCGGGCCCCGAGUGCAGCGUGCUGAGGUCGGAGGCCCGCGGCCCCGUGGGAAUUGUAGGCUCUUCAUCUUGGCUCUCAGGGAGUCCUGAUGACCUGAAAAUCAGCCAUUUGCAAAGCUGUAAAAUGUGUUGUGCUUUUUUUUUUUUUGUUAGACCAGGAAAGAUGGUGUUGAUCGACCAUUCAGAAACCAUUCAGAGUAAUGUUUGAAGUCAGUUCCUAAAAUGGAGAACAACAUUUAUGUUUAUUUAACACGAUUUCUCCUUCCUGUCAUUCUGAGCUAAUUUGUGUUUCCUGAGAGACAGGCUGGCUGUUGGAAAUUAGAGAGAAACGACGAACAAAUUUGUGAAUUAUGAUGUACGUACAAAACAACAUUCUGGUGUUCAUCUCGAUUAAAUUCUACAAGAACGGGUCACGUUUUUUUAAACUCAGGUAAUCAGUGGUUUCUGUUCAGAUUUCAUACAUUAAGCAUGACAUCUGAAGUUGUGAAAACUGAAUAGAAACCGCUCAUUGCCUGCAAGAGAAAUGUGUGAACUGUUCUUGUAGAAUUUAAUUGAGAUGAACAUGAAGAUUUCUUUAUGUGUGAUACAGUCCUAAUUAAAUUCCAGGAGACCAAAUUUAUGAAUGAAGCUGGCGGAGAGAGGCCGCAUGUGGAUUCAGACCCAUGUCUGUGAACGAUUUUAAUUUGGGACCUCUAUUACUGAGCCGCCUUCUUGGAACAACACGAGAGAGCUCCCAAUUCCCCACAUGGUCAUGCUGGAUUUGAUUGAAAAAUUCAAAUUGAAAUGCUAUUUCGGUGUGGAGGGGAUUAAACUGUCAGUCACGGACAAGGGGGUCCAAUCAGCACUUUGCGACCUGCAGACGAUAGGUUAUUCUGGAGCUUGGGCGGGACAGAGCUGCCCCAACCGACACGCGUCAUUUUUUUCAGUAAAGUUAUUAAUAUUAAGAGAAUCGUGAUCUGUUGAAAUUCUAUAUUUUGUUUUAUUUUAUUUCUUUUAAUCUUGAAUGGUGAUAGGAAUAAUACCACUUGCUUUUGGGAGUAUUAUGUAACUCAUGGGAAGCCACAGGACACUUUAAGCCAAGCAUGGACUUUUAAUUAAACAUUGUAUCACAGAUUACUCAUAAUGCACUUGAGUCGUGUUCCUAUUGGUGCAAUGAUGCCUUGAGACUGUCGAAAAUCACAGUUAAUCUCACAGAUCUGCCUUGGCAUGGAGUUUGUUAUCCUUGUAAUGGAGUUUGUGAUUAAUAUUUCUAUGCUGCAGUAAGACGCCUGACCAACAUAAUUGACUUAAUUUGUCAUAGUGUUCUGUGGUGUUAAAUCAGAAAUGCCUCAGUUUGCUAUGGGCUACCGCCUAAUAACCCACAAUCAGAUUCCUCAUUCUGACUGUUUUUCUCUGCUAUGAGUGACGAUUCAAAUGGAUUUUGCCUGUGGUUAUUUUGCCUUGCUGCAAUGUCUAGACCUUUUGAGAAAUAUGCGUCUUUUAAGGUUGGAACGAAUGCCGUGUUCAGAGAAAAUAACAAGUGCUGUCUUUCCUCCUGGCACCAGAUGGCGCUGUGUUCUCUUGGCCAAAAUUAGAACUGGCCAGUUAGCUCAGUAUCUGCUGAUCCUACGCAGUUUAGUCUUGUUAUAAAACAUUUUUUAAAUUCCUUGUGUUGCACAGUAAGAUGUGAUUAUAUCACCCAUCUAUCCCGAUCAAUGAAGAAUGCAGUGCAUGGUCAAUUUCAGAUUUAAAGAGGACACAUUGUCUACAUAGUACAGGCUGCUAUAUGAAUGUCAAUCUGGUAGUAUAGUUGUUUUGUUCCUCAAAAUCUUAUAAUAAUAAAUUGUUGUGGAAUUUAACCCAAUCAUCCUUUGUUUAAUGUGGGCAACAUAACUGUGUAAUUGCUUUACAGUUGCAUAAAUACUGUUUGAGUACAAUGGAAAAACAUUGUAUAUAUUAAAGGCUUGUGGUUAGAAUAAUGGUUUGGAACAUGCAUAUAGAUUAUGUCAAUGAUUGGUGCACGGAUUAGAUUUAAGUUUUUGAACACAAAUAUAUACAAGGAUGUGUAAUUACACCAGCCACUAACAUCAGCAGUACAUCCAUAACUUCCCUGUGGCCUUUUUCUUUCUGUUUCUUUCUACUUCUCCAUUUUCUUCUUUCUUUCUCUUUCCGCCCUUUGUUUCUCUGCGUCUGCUUCCCACCAUCUGUCUGUCUUUACUUGUUUCUACCCCCCACCAUCACCACCACCGCGUUUCUCCUCACAGUUUCUCUCCAGGUACUCUGACCAAACACAUUACAUGUGGAAGAGCCUGCUGGGCACAAAGCUGUCAGGUCACCAGGCCAGUGAACACACUCGAGCCAACACAGCAAGUAUUAACUUGCAGUUUUUUGUGAAAUUGUAUUGCAGAAAGUAAAGUUGUUAUGUGUUUGUUUGUUUGUUUGUUUGUUCAAAACGCCCCUCCUGUCUCCCGGCCUGUCUGAAAAGAAAGUUGUGUAAGUUUUUGAGAUGUCCAUUAAUAUGAUUCCUGUAAUACGGUGUUUUGAGUCCAAAUGUCAGUAGUGAAUUUAUCACUUUAUUUCAUGUAUGUUGUACUUAAUUGGUCAUUUGUACUUUUUAUUUAUGCCCUAACACUCACUUAGAUCAGAGGUCAAUGACAGUCUAUGAAGAGAGAUUUACUAUCGAUAUGACACGCCAGGGAAAAGUCUCAGGCGGUUAAAACCUUUAAAGGGUUUCAUUUCACACUGAGACCAAUGGCAUUUAUCACGCUUCUGUAUUGCCGUUCCCCCUUCACAAAGGGUUAAUGGGGAAAACGGACCCUCCAUCAGCACAGCAGGAGGUUUCCUCAACUGCAGUUGUCUAUCCGUCCUCUAAAAAUGUCACAAAAGUAGCUAUAUAUCUGGGUUCAAUGAGCACUAAUACCCAGAAGAAUGUACACUGUACAUAUUUUUCUGGCUUUAUUGCUCAGUGUACCCCGAUUUUAAAAUGGGUACAUUUUCUUCCCAAAGGGUUUGUUGGCUGUACUUUCAAUCAAAUCAGCAUGCACAUCAGGAGCAGAGCUUGACACAGUGAGAAACGCCCCUCCGUCUGUACACUUUGGUCCUGUUUAUGUCAUGUACACCCCCUGCGGUCACAUAGUACCAAGCUCAGUUGUAUGCCAAGUUAAGUGAAAAAAUGGUGACUCCGUAGUCUAUGGCAGAGCUGGAUUCACAGCAACCUUUCAGGAUCGUUUGUCUUUCAUUGUUUGUUUUUGUAUUGCAUCAGUAGCACCUGUUUCCCUCCACCGUAGCACAGUGUGAUAUGAAUUUAUCCAUUUAUCUUAAAAGGGCUUCCAAAUGUGGAAGAGAAUGAAAAGGUUCCAGUAACCAUGGCACCCACCGCGUUACUUAGUACAGUGAAAAGAAUACCUGUUUACCUCCUUGGCAUAGACGGUGUGUAUCAGACAAACUCAGCCUCUUGUAUCUUAUGUUUGAGAUUAAAGGCAUAGUAACCCUAAAAAUGUUAUUCAUUCAUUUUCCUACCCAGAAAAAUGUUUCGCCUGCUCUUUUGGCAGAUUUAAAUGGCAAUUUUAGUGGGGGAUUUUUGAUCCCCUGCCCCCAAACCCCGUUUUGUAUUUUUUU
This is a long non-coding RNA of Anguilla rostrata (American eel), 5802 nucleotides long. RefSeq lists it as uncharacterized. The record is from RefSeq and is a predicted model, not a curated record. Lineage: Eukaryota; Metazoa; Chordata; Actinopteri; Anguilliformes; Anguillidae. The transcript has 2 exons.